CCUUUAGAUGUUCUGGGCCGCACGCGCGUUACACUGAUGCAUUCAACGAGUUCUUCCUUGGCCGAGAGGCCUGGGCAAUCUUUUGAACGUGCAUCGUGAUAGGGAUAGAUUAUUGCAAUUAUUAAUCUUGAACGAGGAAUUCCUAGUAAACGCAGUUCAUCAAACUGCAUUGAUUACGUCCCUGCCCUUUGUACACACCGCCCGUCGCACCUACCGAUUGAAUGGUCCGGUGAAAUCUCGGGACGGCGGCUUGGUCGCUUGCGUCCGACUGCUGAAACUUGAUUAAACCAUAUCAUUUAGAGGAAGGUGAAGUCGUAACA
This 320-nucleotide ribosomal RNA is filed under the name uncultured eukaryote. RNAcentral's name for it is "partial 18S ribosomal RNA". It matches the Rfam family "Eukaryotic small subunit ribosomal RNA", at positions 1470 to 1796 of the family's 1831-position model. The record is from RNAcentral.